UACGAAGGGUGCUAGCGUUGUUCGGAAUCACUGGGCGUAAAGCGUGCGUAGGCGGCUUUGCAAGUCAGGGGUGAAAUCCCACAGCUCAACUGUGGAAUUGCCUUUGAAACUGCAUGGCUGGAGUAUUGGAGGGGUCAGGGGAAUUCCUAAUGUAGUGGUGAAAUACGUAGAUAUUAGGAGGAACACCGGUGGCGAAGGCGCCUGACUGGACAAUAACUGACGCUGAGGCACGAAAGCGUGGGGAUCAAACAGG
RNAcentral lists this ribosomal RNA (253 nucleotides) under uncultured bacterium. RNAcentral describes it as "partial 16S ribosomal RNA". It matches the Rfam family "Bacterial small subunit ribosomal RNA", at positions 524 to 776 of the family's 1533-position model. The record is from RNAcentral. RNAcentral also lists the same sequence under 1 other name.